RNAcentral lists this long non-coding RNA (505 nucleotides) under Equus caballus (horse). RNAcentral describes it as "lncRNA (ENSECAG00000053560.1)". Lineage: Eukaryota; Metazoa; Chordata; Mammalia; Perissodactyla; Equidae. The record is from RNAcentral.
GGAACUUUCAGCCCUCCCCACUGACCUCCGGGAAGGGGAAGCGGGGGCUGCAGAUUAAGCUCUAUCGAAACUCUUGAGCAACAAGAUUUGAUGAGCUUGGGGGUUGGUGAAUGCAUCCACGUGCUGGGGGGGCUGCACACCUCAGUUCCACCUCUGAAACUCCUGUGCUUGGGAUCCUUCCAGACCUUGCCCUAUGUACCCUUUCAUCUGGUUAUUCAUCCGCACAGGUACCUUCCUAUUUAUAGCUUAUCUUCUCUAGGCUCUUGCCAGAGUUGAGAAUAGAAGCAGCUGUGGGACGUUGGAAAGAACCUCGGAUUUAAGUGGACUGGGGUUCAUACUGCAGCUCUGUCACUUACUAGCUGAGUGACUCUAGUAUGGUUUCUAAAUCUCUCUGGUCCACCAUCUUCUCAGGAAACAAUACCAUCUGGGUCCCAAGAAUAAACGAGAUUACUGGAGAAAUAUAUCACAUACUGUGGAAAAUGCAGAAACAAAAAUUAAAGAAAAG